Long non-coding RNA from Alligator sinensis (Chinese alligator), 421 nucleotides. RefSeq lists it as uncharacterized. The record is from RefSeq and is a predicted model, not a curated record. The transcript is spliced from 3 exons. Lineage: Eukaryota; Metazoa; Chordata; Crocodylia; Alligatoridae.
GACUCCUUCUGAGCUAUUUUGGCUUCUCAGGCUGGCUGGAGAAAAAAGCAGCAGAGACAUUUUGUUCGUGCAAUCAACCAGGCAGAAGACUUUGGAUAGGACAUGGAGAACGUCAGUAGGGAGGUUAGAGCACUGACUUUAGAUCUCUUACUUCGUUUUUGUUGUUGAUGGGAUAAAAAGGAGACAGCAAAGAAACAAAAGAUGAGAGGGCCAUCUGACUUCAGCAUACAGUGGCUUUCCCGGUAGCAGCACGGUGCCUGCCUCCCUCUGCUCCAGUAUGGCCAUUGAAACAAGCCGAUACAGACUUGACGGCGCCAGCAAACCUGCAAUAACUUGUUCGUUGCCACAGUGCUUCCAGGGCCCAUCCCAUCACCUAUCUCUCUUCACACUCCUCCUUAUUGCUCACCUGAUAACGAUAGCC